CGUCCAAUCAGAGGCAGCAGCAGCCAGGCAGAGCUGCCAGAGUGAAGCUGCACUGAGAAACAGAGCAGAGCCUUUUGCAUUAGCCCGCCACACUGUUUCAGAAAGCUACCUUGGUGGAUAGAGAGGCAGAUGGAAAAGAACUGAACGAAGGUUGCAGCACAACUGAGAAUCACAACUCCUUCUCUGUCACCAUGGAAACCACUGAACAAUCAGAGCCGGCAAUGGACUGUGAAGUGGAGGUUGCUGUGGCUGAUUCACCUGAGCAGGGGAAGGAUUGCAGUGCAGAAGAUGAGCCAGUUUGUUUAGAGACAGACUUUGCAGAUUUCCCAGGUGAAAUAGCGAUGCUUGACAAAUUAUUAACUGACCUGCCAACCGACACGAUUAAGAUCGACAAGCCUGACUGUGAAGAGACCAGUGUUUGCACAGAAAUGCCUUGUCAAGAUCAAAAGGAGGCGUUGACAUUACAAUCAGUGCAUGAAGAGCUCAACAGAAAUGAGUCAAUCACCUCAUCUGUGUCUGACACACUCUCCAGUGCUGAUAGUGUUUAUGAAAAUGAGGCCCAUCGUAAGAGGCAGGACAUGCCAGAACAAGAUCCUGAACAAGAACAAGUCCCCGAGCCAGAGCAAUUCCCCGAGCCAGAGCAAUUCCCUGAGCCAGAGCAAUUCCCCGAGCCAGAGCAAUUCCCUGAGCCAGAGCAAUUCCCCGAGCCAGAGCAAUUCCCCGAGCCAGAGCAAUUCCCCGAGGCAGAGCAAUACCUUGAGCCAGAGCAAUACCUUGAGCCAGAGCAAUUCCCUGAGGCAGAGCAAUUCCCCGAGGCAGAGCAAUUCCCCGAGGCAGAGCAAUUCCCCGAGGAAGAGCAAUUCCCCGAGGCAGAGCAAUUCCCCUGAGGCAGAGCAAUUCCCCGAGGCAGAGCAAUACCCUGAGGCAGAGCAAUACCCUGAGGCAGAGCAAUACCCUGAGGCAGAGCAAUACCUUGAGGCAGAGCAAUACCUUGAGGCAGAGCAAGAUCCUGAACGAGAACAAUGCCAUGAACAAGAGGAAGACUUUGGACUGGGGCAGUACCCUGAGCCAGAACAACACCCUGAACCAGACCGGUACCCUGAGCCGGAGCAAUACCCUGAGCUAGAGUUAUACCCGGAGCCUGAGGCUGAGUAUAAUGAGCUUAAUCUGGAAGAUGAUGGUUAUCAAAAUGUGGCAAUAGACACAGAGGAAGACCCAGAGGCCUGUGACAUCCUAUUUGAACCACCCAUUACAGAGGAGUCGAUAUUAGAGCAGUGUAUUAGAGAAGAGGCAAUGUCAGAUGUUUCCAAUGAAUCCUGCCACGACCAUGAGCCGGAUGAAAUGGACGACUGCCUGGAAGUUGAGAAUGCAGCAGGAUCCCCAGACAGUGAGGCAGAUGAAAAAUGGAGAUCAAUAUUCUCUUCUUCUAUAAAUAAAGAAGAUGAUGACUCAUAUUUGGACAGUCUUCAGCUGAGUGCACAGGAGCUCUUUGUGCAGAAAGUUGAGGUGACAGACCUUGAGGAACAUGACAACAACAACAUUGAAGAAGUCAGUUUUGAGGUUCCACAAGUGGAAGAAGUUCUGGAACAACCUGAGGAUAUCAUUUCCUUUCCUUCCACUCCACAAGAGGUUAAAUAUAACCCUUUAGGCCUUCAAGGUUUGUCCAAAAUCUCUGAAGAUGAGAGUGAAAAUGGCAGAGAUGCCAAUCAUAACCAUGCCACCCAUCAAAAGCACGUCAAUGCAGAUUUGAACAAGAAGCUACCUAAAGACUUCUGUGUGAUACAAGAGACCAAGAGCAAGAAUGUUAGCACAGAGCAUGUGGACUUCCAGCUGGCCCGUAAACAGUGGCGGGAAAUGGAGGAGCAAACCAUGAACAAGAUUGUCUUACCUACAACCAAGCAGCCCGGCUUCCAUGGCAGCCACAGCUUCAUGUACACACCGGUCCGCAACAUUGAAAGAACUCACAAGAAAGCUAAUGAUCUGGAGAACUUGAAUCUGGUUGGUGAUUAUCCUCUCACCCAAUUCAGCCCUUGCUCAGAGGAUUCUGGCCUGGAUGAUUCCAGUUACAGGUCCCCGUACGAUGACCCAGAAACAACAGUGGAAAGGGAGAUUCGUAUGUCAAUGGAGAGGGAGGAAAGCUUCAGGAGAGAAAAGGGCCUCUCCAGGAUGGGAAAGUCCACUGAUUGUGCUCCAUCACGAAGUAUGCCAAGAUCUAUAAGCACUCCUCUGACACCAUCAUUCAUCAUUACAUCCUCACCUAGUAAGGAACCACUGAAACGUGAAGUAUCCGCAAACAACGUUAUCAUUUUCGACCCGAGAAAUGGCAAAGACAACGUGAUGGCUCAGUCCGGCGACUGGUGCUCUGAGGACAACAGCUCCAACCUCAUCAUCCUAGAGACAUCCAAUCUGAUUAUCCGCAGUGCCUCUGAGUUCUCACUCAACAAAGCCUGUGAGCAAACCCAAGAAAAAAUGUUCCUGAACAACCCUUUUUUCAAGCUGCGUUCAAGAAGCACAAUGUCACUGGUGGAUGAAGAGAUUAAGAUGGUGAAGCAGAGGGAAGAUGAUCUGAGGAAAGAGAGGGUGAAUCUUUAUGGCACAGACCGGUUCAAUAACGAAAGGAUAUUGUCGAAUCACAUGGACACUUUGGCGUUUGACAAUUCAGCAGUGAAGUGCAAGUCCUCUCCAUCAUCGCCAAUGAAAACAACCUACAGGAUGGAUCGCUCUGCUUUAUCCUGUGAUCACAGAUUUCCAGACAUCUACUCAGGAGGAAGACGCAAGAGUGCCAUGGCUCUGCGCUGGGAGGCUGGCGAGUUUACAAAAAAUGACUGAAGAGGACCUAGUCAACAGUUUGCCAUAUAAGGGCAUCAAUUGUCAAUGUUAUACUCAUUCAAGUUUAAUGCAGUGUUGCAAUUGUUUGUUUCAUCUUGUGACAUAACCUAAACUCUCUGCUUCUGUGAUGCUUUGGGCAAAACUAGCAAGAUAAUGAGAAUGUAUAUUUUGGACAAAUCGCAUAUUGAACUCGUACGGUUUUAUACUGUACCACGCAUAAAGAUAACACUUGAUUCUGGCCAGAGGCUGUAUAUUAUAUUCGGACCCACGUGGCUUAGACGUGUCCUCAUCCCUUUUGAAUCAACACUCAUCGCCGGAAGGCUGCUGGUUUCAGCUCUUACUAGGCUACAGCUUCUACUACUUGUUGGAGUAGUAAAGUAAUGUUUAUCACCAUAUUGACAAGGACAGUGCCAACACACAGUUUCCAUUUAAAACUAAUUGAGUAUACAAUACUAACUAUUUUGAACUGUGGCAGGUGAUGAUGGAAUAAAAGAGACAAACCCAGUUUAUCAGCUUAUGUGUCAUGCAAUAUCGUUCAAUAACUGCAUGCCUCCUUGUGGAUGAUCACUUGCCUGUUGAAGAACUGUUUGAAAGAUCAAAUCUAGAAUCUCAGAAAAACUGCAAGUGGAAGAAAAUAAAAUUCUAAAAUAUCUGGCCUUAUUUAUGAGGAUCGUAUUAAAGGAUGCGACUCUCUUAAUGCAGUUCUCACAUGCCAUAUGUACAUCAACAGAGUUAUUGGUCGCUGUGAUCAGAAAGUUCAGCCGAAGCUAAUACGAGGCUUAAAGCAGAGACAAAUCAAGUGGCCAUCGAAUGUAAGUGUAUUGCUAAUAUAAUACUGCCUGUAGUGUUAUUGGUCUUGUGUUGAAUAAUGUUUCUCCUGUUAAUAUUGUUUUCUGUAGCGCUGCCUUCUAAGUUAUGAGAUAGGGUUUAAUUAAAAGUAUCGCUGGGGUAAGCUUUAUGCCUCAAAGGAUAGAUGUUAAAAGUUGCAGCUAAAGUUGUGUUGAGAUUAAAGUUGUUUUUUGUCACUUGGGGGGGCAACAGAAACAGGCUGUAAACAAAACAUUAUCAUAUAUUAGCAGAAAACACAUUUACACACCAAACAGAGCAGCAUUAUCACUCAUGUGGACUCAUGUAGUCCUAGUUUAGUGUCUAACUGUCUCUUGUUAGCUCGUAUUAACUGUCUGUUUCAGCUGGUGACGGAGCAGGCUUCAGCUGAACAUCAGAAUGCAUUCAGGACUGUGGUAUUUAUAUAUAUAUAUAUAUAUAUAUAUAUAUAUAUAUACACACACAUAUAUAUAUAUAUACACACAUAUACAGUGUAUUCAUACUAGGAAGAGAUUGCCUCAAGGCCAGUAUUAACAGGAGGGAGGAUGCAAGUGACCAAUAAGUCUUUCAACAUACAAAUGACAUGUGACUCACUGAUGCACCGCUGUCUUAAAUAUGAACAGCUGUAAUCAGGAAACUCCGUAACUCACCCAAAGUCAGCAGAGCAGCCGGACGAUAUCAGAGGGGAAACUAUAAAACAUUUUCUCCAUGAAAUAUGAUCCAGUCUCACCAAAAUCAACUUAAAGUAAAGCCUUACGCACUUCUCCCGAGAGAUUACUCUGUGCAAGCGCAGAUGUCGGGGGGAACAGAGACGUACGUGCAGCCUCAACAUGAUUCUGUUUUAUUUUAGGGUGAAAUAUUUCCAUAGUGUUGCUUUAAAAGACGAUUAUUAGCUGAGAGUAAUUUGAAAGUAGUUUUCGCUGCCUGAAUGUUAGACAAAUGUAUUGUUGAGUCCACUCUAUGCUUGACUUCUCUUGACAUUAUAAAUGUAAAUCAGAUUUGAAAACAUAUUUUGAUGUUAUCGUAUGUCUUGAUACAGCAAAUGCUACAUUGCUCAGUGUAUAUUAAUUGUAUUUUCGUACUAUGCUUUGUUUUGCCGCAAAUUAAUAUUUUAGGGUGAGCUGGACGGGAAACAAUAAGCACAACAUAUAUUAUACCUUUCACUGGAAACAUAUAGUUCAAUCACAUAAUGUAACAUAACGCGUAAAGGGGAUGUCAAGAUUUUAGUGAGAAUAUAAAUAUGCAUUUCAGUUUUGUCGCUCCCUGAGUGACACUUCAGGACGCACUACCUGCAGAAGGACAAUCCAAUACGUGCAGGUAUCAACUAGAGGACCAAUGACACCAUGUGGAAAGUGGACCUCCAUUGUCUGAAAUCUCAGUGCUUUGGAAAUUCCAAAUAAUAAAAUAGAUUUCCACAAAUUAUAGUAUUUUAUUCUUUAUACAAUAUAACUAUAAAUGAACGCUCACUCAUAUACUGUACAGUGAAGCUGCAGUAUACUUACAUGAACCCUUUGUUCCAACAUUCAGCGAUUAUUUCAACGUUUAGGGCACCGGGAGGCAGUAUUCAUGUUCAAGCACCUUUCUUUGUGGCUCCCUGUAUUGUGAAUGUCAUGAACCACAAACACGAUGUAUUUUCAAAAGAUUUUCCUAAAUAGAAAACACCGUUAUUUGAUGGUUUUAAUAAAGAAAAUUGUUAUUUACAAAGCCUUGACAUUUCCAGCUACUAUUAAAAGCAGCUUCUAAAAGCUUGUGACUUUCUUGACCUUAGAUUCAACUGACCUUAAACAGCAUUGUUUUACAUUCCAUGUUUGUAUGCUUCAUUGUUAUAUUAUAGCUUACAAAUCUCAAGAUUGCUUGCUGAUGUUUAAACAUUGUGUGAAAAGUCCCUGACAUGGCUUUUUG
RNAcentral lists this long non-coding RNA (5556 nucleotides) under Cottoperca gobio. RNAcentral's name for it is "lncRNA (ENSCGOG00000023719.1)". Lineage: Eukaryota; Metazoa; Chordata; Actinopteri; Perciformes; Bovichtidae. The record is from RNAcentral.